Molecule: ribosomal RNA, 460 nt
Filed under: uncultured bacterium
Lineage: Bacteria
Description: partial 16S ribosomal RNA
Rfam family: Bacterial small subunit ribosomal RNA
Source: RNAcentral
CCUACGGGUGGCAGCAGUGAGGAAUCUUGGGCAAUGGACGAGAGUCUGAACCAGCCAAGUAGCGUGAAGGAUGACUGCCCUAUGGGUUGUAAACUUCUUUUAUAAAGGAAUAAAACGGGGCACGUGUGCCUUUUUGCAUUUACUUUAUGUAUAAGGAUCGGCUAACGACAUGCCAGCAGCCGCGGUAAUACGGAGGUUCCGAGCUUUAUCCGGAUUUGUUGGGUUUAAAGGGAGCGUAGAGGGGUUGUUAAGUCAGUUGUGAAAGUUUGCGGCUCAACCGUAAAAUUGCAAUUGAUACUGGCAGUCUUGAGUACAGUUGAGGUAGGCGGAAUUCGUGGUGUAGCGGUGAAAUGCUCAGAUAUAACGAAGAACCCCGAUUGCGAAGGCAGCUUACUAAACUGUGACUGACAUUGAUGUGCGAAAGUGUGGGUAUCAAACAGGAUUAGAUACCCCUGUAGUC